UUUAUGGAGAGUUUGAUCCUGGCUCAGGAUGAACGCUGGCGGCGUGCCUAAUACAUGCAAGUCGAGCGAACAGACGAGGAGCUUGCUCCUCUGACGUUAGCGGCGGACGGGUGAGUAACACGUGGAUAACCUACCUAUAAGACUGGGAUAACUUCGGGAAACCGGAGCUAAUACCGGAUAAUAUAUUGAACCGCAUGGUUCAAUAGUGAAAGACGGUUUUGCUGUCACUUAUAGAUGGAUCCGCGCCGCAUUAGCUAGUUGGUAAGGUAACGGCUUACCAAGGCAACGAUGCGUAGCCGACCUGAGAGGGUGAUCGGCCACACUGGAACUGAGACACGGUCCAGACUCCUACGGGAGGCAGCAGU
Molecule: ribosomal RNA, 365 nt
Filed under: Staphylococcus epidermidis
Lineage: Bacteria; Bacillati; Bacillota; Bacilli; Caryophanales; Staphylococcaceae
Description: bacterial SSU rRNA
Rfam family: Bacterial small subunit ribosomal RNA
Source: RNAcentral